ACUCCUACGGGAGGCAGCAGUGGGGAAUAUUGCACAAUGGGGGAAAGCCCUCGAUGCAGCCAUGCCGCGUGUGUGAAGAAGGCUCUAGGGUUGUAAAGGCACAUUUCAACAGUGAGGAAAAAGUUAACGGUUAAUACCCCGUUAGCCCCUGACGUUAACUGUAGAAGAAGCACCGGCUAACUCCGUGCCAGCAGCCGCGGUAAUACGGAGGGUGCAAGCGUUAAUCGGAAUUACUGGGCGUAAAGCGCACGUAGGCGGUUAGUUAAGCUAGCUGUGAAAGCCCCGGGCUUAACCUGGGAACUGCAGUUAGAACUGGCUGGCUAGAGUACAGUAGAGGGUGUGGAAUUUCAGGUGUAGCGGUGAAAUGCGUAGAUAUCUGAAGGAACAUCAGUGGCGAAGGCGACACCCUGGACUGAUACUGACGCUGAGGUGCGAAAG
This 438-nucleotide ribosomal RNA is filed under the name uncultured bacterium. Its description in RNAcentral is "bacterial SSU rRNA". It matches the Rfam family "Bacterial small subunit ribosomal RNA", at positions 335 to 759 of the family's 1533-position model. The record is from RNAcentral.